GAUCUCGUCUGUUGGAUCAGAACCACACGGACCAGCCUUCGCUCCCCACGUGCAUCAAUGAUCCUCGAACGCCCACGACCCUGAUGCCUGGUUCACCGAUGAUCAUUUCCAGGAACAUCCCACAAGAGCUGCAGUUUUGGAGGUGCUCUGACCCAGACGUCUAGACAUCACAAUUUGUCAAACUUGAUCAAAUCCUUACGAUUUUUCUUGCUUCUUUGAGGAUAAAAUGUUCACCUGCUGCCUAAUAAAUAUAUCCACUAACCAACAGGUACCAUGGUGAGGAGAUAAUUAGUAAUUAAAUUAUAGAAAUAAUUGUGCCACUGUUUGUUUUCUCGUCUUUAGAUUUGUUAGUCUGCUUGCUUUUCUGUUAGCAAAGCUAAACUAAAAAUGUCCUGCUGCUGCUAUCUUGUGGUUCCAAGGCCUAUUCUGGGGUAAAAGUCUGUCUGGUGUAAAAGGUUCUCUUCUCUUUUUCAGGUAAUUAUGUUUCCGCUUACUUCUAAAAAGUGGCUUACAGUUCUUUAGGAUGUCCAUGUGGUAUCAGCUACAGGAACACAAAGUCCCUUUUUCUUAAUAACAUCAACACUAAUCUGGAUAGAUUUGAAAACGUUGUUCUCGUCUACAAACCCCUUUGCGUCCACACUGAAGUUUUCAGUUGUUUUCCAGAAGUUGCUCAUCCACACUGAAAUGUGUAAAAACGCUAACGUCCAGGUACUGCACAAAAAGUAACAAAACGUAAGACCAGUCAUCUCCGCCUGCCGUUUAUUUACCUCAGCUUUUUUAAACGUCGCCACAGUGGACUAAAAAAGCAUCAUAGUUUUUUUUACGGUCCACGCUGCAUGUUUUCGUUGACUGAAAACGCCAUCUCGAUGUGGACGGAAGGAGAAAACGGAGAGAAACAUGGGUUUUUACACAAAAACGUAUUAGUGUGAACAUGGCCUUAGUCUCAAGUGCGGAAUCUCUGAAGUAAGGAUAAAUCAGUGGAGAAUAACAGCCAUGACUGGACACUCGAAGCUCUUAAUGAUGACUGGAGUGAGGGCAACAAGGCCGUAUUCAUUAAACAAAUGACUAGUGACUUUCCAGGCAUGGAGAUAAUGGUGGUCAAUAUGAAGUAGAUGAGGACAGCAACCUGUGCCAGUGAGAUGUUAAAGAUGAGCGCAUGAGCAAAGAUAUUUUCAGGACCAGUACGUCUGAAGGUUUUUCCAACUCUCACUGUUUUUCUUGCAUUCACUGCAGCCACGAGUCAGCACCUGGUCAGUAGAGGGCGCUAGAAUUCUCCUCUAUGCUCUUUGUCUUGCAGGCUGUUAAACAGGCAAUGAAAUGCUUGAACCAAUUGUGCAAAAUGGAUUUUACCUUUCUAUGGUCUAAAUAUCUUGACAUAUGCUGUGGAUUAUUGCUUGUAAAAUCUUUUUGUUAUCUCAAGGCAUCGGUUCUCUUGAUGCCAUUGGUUUAUCCUUGUUACUCUGAGAGCCACUCUGUCAGAAUACAAAAGAAUGAUGGUACACCUGGUCUGGAAGAGGUGCAUUUACUUUCACUUGAAAGCCAGUUUGCUGACUGUGCAAUUUGCUCUAACUGCUUGUGGCACCUUUAUUGCUGCGAGUGUUGCUUAGGCAAGGCUCUGGUAUCUGGCCUGUAGGGAUGGUGAAACUCAGGGAUUCACGUGCAUUGGUGCAUUGGCAUUAAAAUGAACAAUGUUGUGCAUUGGAUAAACGUUGGCAUUUGUAUCGUGGUGCAUUAUUUUUUAACAUAUUUGCAUCUGUACAUAAAAGUUUAUUUAUAUAUAAUUAUUAGUAAAUGAAUACAUGAUUUACUGCGA
Long non-coding RNA from Silurus meridionalis, 1813 nucleotides. RefSeq lists it as uncharacterized. The record is from RefSeq and is a predicted model, not a curated record. The transcript has 2 exons. Lineage: Eukaryota; Metazoa; Chordata; Actinopteri; Siluriformes; Siluridae.